UACGGGGGGGGCAAGCGUUGUUCGGAAUUACUGGGCGUAAAGGGCUCGUAGGCGGCCAACUAAGUCGGACGUGAAAUCCCCAGGCUCAACCUGGGAACUGCGUCCGAUACUGGAUGGCUUGAAUCCGGGAGAGGGAUGCAGAAUUCCAGGUGUAGCGGUGAAAUGCGCAGAUAUCAGGAGGAACACCGGUGGCGAAGGCGGGUCUCUGGGCCGUAACUGACGCUGAGGAGCGAAAGCAUGGGGAGCGAACAGG
RNAcentral lists this ribosomal RNA (253 nucleotides) under uncultured bacterium. Its description in RNAcentral is "partial 16S ribosomal RNA". It matches the Rfam family "Bacterial small subunit ribosomal RNA", at positions 524 to 776 of the family's 1533-position model. The record is from RNAcentral.